RNAcentral lists this small nuclear RNA (131 nucleotides) under Dasypus novemcinctus (nine-banded armadillo). RNAcentral describes it as "U4 spliceosomal RNA (ENSDNOG00000028577.1)". It matches the Rfam family "U4 spliceosomal RNA". Rfam says of the family: U4 small nuclear RNA (U4 snRNA) is a component of the major U2-dependent spliceosome. Lineage: Eukaryota; Metazoa; Chordata; Mammalia; Cingulata; Dasypodidae. The record is from RNAcentral.
AGCUUUGCGCAGUGGCAGUAUCGUAGCCAAUGAGGUUUAUCCGAGGCGCGAUUAUUGCUAAUUGAAAACUUUUCCCAAUACCCCGCCGUGACGACUUGAAAUAUACUCGGCAUUUUACAACUGAAAAUGGG